This is a long non-coding RNA of Sesamum indicum (sesame), 2459 nucleotides long. RefSeq lists it as uncharacterized. The record is from RefSeq and is a predicted model, not a curated record. NCBI's taxonomy places the organism in Eukaryota, Viridiplantae, Streptophyta, Magnoliopsida, Lamiales, Pedaliaceae.
CCUAACUCAUAACCACACUAGAAAUGGUAAAGGCUAGACAGCCAACUCCUCUGUGCAUGAUGAGAUGUCAUGCAGAUUGGUGUUCUGGGUUUUAUGAUUCAUCAAAUCGCAAGAUUUUUGGAUUUCAAUUCAGAAAGUGAUAAAAAUGUCGAGGAUAUACGACAACUGGGAGAGGCUAGUUGCAGCCACACUGAGGGAACAGCUUCGGCAACUCUGUCACGCUCCCUCCAGGGACACCAGCAUCAGCUCCCGAGCUUCCAAUUUCAGUUUUCCUUCUCCAUAUCCCGACGUGCCCUUCGAUUCUUUAACCACAGUAGCUCUUCUUGGUAUCAGCACAGUCCUCCUUAUGUUGGAGGGUCUCACUGGGGCCAUAAUACCAGUGAUUUUGAAGUUGAGCAAAGUGCCAAGGCUGAGAAAUCACAGUUAUUGCCACCGGAAGAAAUCUUUGUAAAUGGUGAGCCACUUCGUCAAGAGGCGCUGGCUAUCUUGCAGAGCUGCCGGCAUCCACCCAAAAAGCUGAAACCGGGAUAUUAUUGGUAUGAUAGAUCCUCAGAUUUUUGGGGGAAGCAAGGAGAAGCCUUCACAAACCCCAUCUGAAUGUGGCCGGGCGACUCGACGUGUAUGCUAGCCACGGCAACACGCACGUUGACAUAAGUGGCCGGAGAUCACCAAAGUGGAGCUGCGUAUGUUAAAGUUUGCAGGUGUCAAAUAUAGGCUAGGUACACAGUUUUGGAUGUCUGCAGAUGGUUCGUACGUAUUAGAGGGUCUAAAUAACAUAUUGGGGUCUAUAUGGGACAAGGUGGUCCUUUCUGAACUAUGAAUUCACAUCACUCUACCAUUGGCUUCUUACUUUGUGAUGGAAGUUAAUUGUUUUUCAGGCUGGAAUGAAGCUACUUUGUUCUUUCCUCUCUCUUCCAUUUCCUCCUAAAUCUGCUUAUACUUCUGGAGAGCAAUCCGGGCCUGACUACUUGAGAAAAACGACAUUCAGAAACUGCUUUUGAUUGUAUGUGAUGUGAUGGAUCUGGAGCAAGGACCAUUUUUAAGCAGGUAGCUGGUGAUCAUUCACUCUCUGAAUAUUAGAGCAUAUUUUUUGAAGCUACAUCUUUCAUAUUCUGGCAGAAAGCAUGAUAUGUAACCUUCUGAUACCCUUACUCUCAUCAUGCUAUUCUAGUAAUGCUUGAUGGAUUGUUGUAUUUAUCAUACUGAAUAUUGGUUUCUUAGCCAAAUUUCUACAAAGAUGUAGCUUCCACAGAGGACGAGCUUGAACACAUCAAAGACUUGAUACACACAGGAACAUACAGUUGCAUUUGCCAACUCCUUUCUUCUCAUGAAUUCUGGUUGGCAGGUAAUGAUAUAGCAUGCGGCAUUCCCUUUAACCCUUGGGCCAGCAAAUGGCAUCAGUUGUCAGCACAUUUUUGUAUCAUUUUGUAUUCCUUACACAAUUUAUAAAAUAUAUUUUCAGCUUCUUAAGUUUAAGUCAUUUUCUGGAUAAUUUUAGACUUUCCUGCGGAUCAACACAUAUGGUAUUUUGACGAAAUCGCCUCCAAACACAUACAGAUCCUUGUAUGUUGAUUAUGCAGUUCAGAAAUGUCUGUCUAGGUACUAGUUUUGCUCUAUAAUUCCACGGAGUUGCAUACUUGCACUCAUAUCUUGAAACAUUUUGCUUCUGUGAACUGGAUUGAGGAACAAAUGCAUGAGAAACUUGAUGAUGACUGAAUAUACAUGUUUUAGUUUCAUGACUGGAAAAAUAUAUUUCUACAUGUUCUAUUUGUGCACCCUAUUUUCUGAUUAAUCUAGGGAAUUGUUUUACAAUAUGCUGGACUUUUCAGAACAGUUCAAAUGAGAGACCAGAUGUUCCUUAAUGCUUUUUGAUAUGCUUACAAAAUGGAAAUCCGUAUUAAAUUCCUUAGUCUGUAUCCCCGAAUGAAGAAGUAAGCACUUGGUACUUCAAAAUUGGUGUACUGGUAACCUAGGCCAGAUGGGUUUUCAUUAUAUUUCGAUCAAGUUCAAGAGACUCUUCGCUGCUCUAACUGGUCGAAAGUUGUAUGUUGUUGCACGAGUAAGCUGUCUGGAGCCAAAGAGCGUAGACGCAGCACUCAAGUAUGCGAGGGAAAUUCUGAAAUGGAAUGCAGAGUGAAUAUUUGUAUUACAGCACUGAGGAAAUUAUCUACUCUGAUGAAGAUGGUUUCGGUGAAUAUCUUAAUGUGAUUGACUUCGGUUAUUAUACAGAGUAAGAAAACUAGAGUUUGUAUAAGAAUUACUAUUCUUGGCAUUUCUCUGAGUUAUACGAGCGUUUGAUUCUGGGCUGAAGCAUGCCAUUCUAGAAUCCUUGCAGCAUUUCAAGAUUUACCUGAUGCUAAGUUCAUGCCUCCCGAUUGACGCUCGGGUAACUAAAAAAAAGAUUUAACUACUGAGUCCAGGUGUUCAAAACCAAGAACACAAGCUACCAGCUUAGAUAC